UAGGCACGUGGUAGGAUUAGAUUUCCAGGUCUCCUGUGGUUGGGUUGAGGCAGGGAGCUAGUUCAGGGCAGAAGUGGCACAGACCCCUUCCGAGAUGCAUAUCUCAUCACCUGCAUGAGACCCUCAAGGACUCUCUUUUCUCCUGAGUAGGCCCAGAGGCCGUCCAGGGACCAGUAGUGGGGCAGCCCUGCUACGCUCCACACCUGAUGUGUCCAAGGCAACUGCCCCAUGUGUCACCAUUUCUCCAGACAGCAGGAAGGGGACAGAGGGCGUGCAGCUGGUCUUUAGGGAAGUGACUUAGAGUUGUUUUUGUUGACAUCUCGCAGCCUAAACUGUCACGUGGUCACGCAUCCCACAGUGGCUCCUGGGAAAUGUAGUUUCUAGUGCAGCAGCCUCGUGCCCUGCUGAAAUGCAGCGAGGUUUAUUAUUCAAAUGGAAAAGGAGGCAAGGAUGCUUGGGGCAGUUAGUGGUCUUUGACUCACUGUCCCACUCUAAAUAGCUCCUGGCUCUCCUCCACAGGCCCUGGCUGCCCACAGCCCACCCCCGAGCUGGCUGGACAUGGGGACCUUCCUCAUCCUUCCAGCUCUGAAUGACCUGGCACAAAACAUGUCUCUUCCAGGCCUUCCUUUUCCUCAUUUGUAAAAGAAGGGCUUUCAACCAGUGAUCACUGAGGUUCCUCCCAGCACUGACAUUUGAUGACUUGUGGUUUUGGGCAAGUUGUUUAACCUCUCCAGAUUUCCAUUUCCUCAUCUAGAAAAUAGAGAUAAAAAUAGUUCUUACCUCAGAGGGUUGCCGCGAAAUCAUCUAGGGUUAUGCCUGACAUAUAAGAAGUAAUCCAUAAGCGUCUGCUAUAAUCAAAAUAAUCUGAGUUCCGCUUGUCAGCUCCUUAGAAAGAAUCUGAUGAACUUGCUCGUGCUGAGGCCUAAUACAGGGUCAGUGAGUAUUUGGCACAAGUGCUGCCAUUAUUCUCUCUCUGUAACAGACAUCACCAAUCAACCAAGAUAUUCUCUGGAUUAGCCAGGGUGCAGCCUCACAGUCCACAGCGCCGCCCUCGCACAGCCCCCAUUCAAUCCAAGGCUCCGUCCCCUCCUUUGGGAAGCCUUCCUGCUUCCACCCCACGCGUGUUCCCAAAGCGGCCUACACAUACCCUGUCGUGGCUUUUUUUAGGCUGAGUUGUGACUUUUCCUUUUGCUUGUCGGUGCCCCGACUAGACCAUGAGUUCCAUGAGGCAGGGACUGCAAUUGGUCCCUCAAAGGUCUAGCCUGAUGCCUGGAACAUUGUAUAUGUUAAAAAAUGAAUCCUCGAUCCUGUGGCUGGCGAGUCGGGGAGAAGUUUGGGGGACGGGCAGUGGGCUGUAGGACUGCCUCACUGACGACCGUAUUCCCUGCCUCUGGAAGCCCCUGCAGGAGCUGUGGGUCAGGUCUCCCCGGCCAGAUCUCCCCUGCAGGGCUGGCCGGACACUUCUGAGUGAGCUGGGCUAGCCAGCACACAUGGGGCUGGGAGGAGGCCAACAAACAGGCGGGCCUCCAAGACCGCUCCGGGGAAGCUGCCCUCCCCAGGGUGCACAGGUGUCUGCUUGCACCUCAGGCUCCAGGCUCCAGGGCGCUUCCAACUUAACGACUAAUGGACCUGCGGGAGCUCGGACACCUGCUUUCUGCUUUCACAGACCACUGCCCAGCAUCACCUUGGUGACAGAACGGAGAAUGGGUGGGGGAGGUCGGGGGCAGGAGAGGGCCAGGGAGAGGGCCAGCCAUCUGCCUGGUUAGCCCGGAAGGGUGCUGACUGCAGGGCUCAGGCAGGCCGGGAUGGGACAGCAGCCACAGCUGUGCUGGGGGGAGCCCGCCUUGCUGCAUGGAGAGCUCAUAGACAGGCAGAGGUAUGGUGGCUCAACCCCCACCGGUUCCCAGUCCUGGCACAGAACCGCGCGGCACCAUCUGACUUCAGGACAUGGGUCCCAGGGGAAACAGUAUGUGAUCUGAGGGACUGGGAAGGCCUGUGUGUAACCACGUAUCUACCCUCUGGCCUGUGACAGGCCCUGAAAUGCAAGAAUCAGGAGGAAGCCAGGGCGCCUUACGAAGAAUACCUCUUGGCCACCCAAUCUAUCAUUGCAGCCAUUUUAUAGAUAAGAAACCUGAGGCUUGGGAAGGCUGACUUCCAGAGGUCACAUAAUUUGGAAACAAGGUCACAUACCUCCGGGCAUAGGGCUUGUCUCUCCGUCCGCAGGCCUCUGCAGUGAGGACCCGUUCCUCAGGCAGUCGUUGAUGCCAUUGUCCUGCAGCAGAACAGAUCUGAUGGGCAAGAGUCACCAAAGGAUAACUAACAAUUAUUAAAUAGUUAACAUUUUCUUUCCUUGAUGUCAGGUGAUCCAAACAGCACGUGGGCCAGGGGCUGGGGAUCAAGAUAGGAGCAAACCACAGACCCUGACCUCCAGGACUCUGGAGCAGGCGGUGGACUCAGGACUGCCAUGUAGUGGUGCCUGUGGAGUGUUCAGUGAUGAGCUGGUGGCUUCUCCACUGGCAGCCUUGGGCAAAUAAGAAUAAUCAUACAUACAUACAUAUGCCUGGUAUACGGGAAGAAACGUGUUAAACCCCAUGUGUGAGCUCUCCCUUCACCCCCACCCUUGCCAUGCCUGCCACCAGCCCUCUCAGGGCUCAGCCAGUGCCGUCCAUUGCUUCUGGGAGGGUUAGGAUUGUUCCAACAGGAACCGUACACAGCCCCUGGAAGAGAGGUACCAGCCAUACCCCUAGGCUUGGCUCAGGGCUUCUGACCCUGCAUGGCAACCCCUCAACUUCAAUGACCCAAGAUACCUCGGCAAAUUACUCAUCUUCCUGAGCCCCUAUUUUCUCAUUUUGUGAAACGGGGUCAGGAUUCCACUUUGCCUGGAACGUCCUGUGUCCUCACCUAUACUUAUUCCUCAGAACAGAUUGCUGGAAGCGGGAGUCCUGGAUCAAAGGGCAUCAGCACCUUUAAGGCUGGUGCUACAUAUUGCCAAAUGGUUAUCCAGAGCGAUUGUGUCAGUUGAGAAUUCUGCCAGCAGUAGGUGAAAGCACUUCUUUCCCUGCAUCCUCUUCAACACGGAGAGUUAGCUUUUCCAGAGUGUUUCCAGUUUGAUGGGUAACAAGGGCAUCCACCCUGUGAUUAAGCAUGCUGUGUGCUGGUUUAAGUUCAGGUUCUAGGGGCAGACUGAUGGGUGUAGUCCCGGCCCUGCCCCUAGGGCCAUAUGGCCCUGUUCACACUAGGCCACACUCCUUGGCCUCGGUUUCUUCAUCUGUAGGAUGGGGUUACAUUGUGGAAUUGUUGCGAGAAUUAACUACCUUAAUGUAAGCUGUGUGAAGCACGGUAGGUGCUUAAUAAAUGUAUCAUCUCUACUUCUUUGGCUAGCAGUAAAGUUGAACUUUCAUAUUUCUUAUCUUUCUUCUCUGACAGAUAAUGUGUUUGUUGUUUGUCCACUCUUCUAUGGCAGUACAGGGCUUUUUCUUACUGAUCUUUUAAUAAGUCUUUAUCUGUUAAUUACAUGAACACUAGGUCCUCUAAAUUUUAAUUCCAGAUGCCCAUCACCUACAAGCUUUUAAAACUUAAAUCCAUCUCUGUGGGUGAGGCCAGGUUGUUAGCAUUCCCGAGGCCAUUCUCCUAGGUAGCCAGGGCUGGGAUAUGGUGGUCUAGUUUUGUAUCAUCAUCUGCUUGCUAAUUUAGUUUUAUAAGCAGCUUGAGGUUCAGAAGUUUAAAUGUUAUGUGUGCAGCCACGUUCAUCUUUCUUUUCCUUUAUGAUUUCUUCAGUAUCUUUCAUGUUUAAGGGGUUCCUCCUGUUUCUCCUGGUUUGCCUUUCCCAUUCAGAUGGUCACGUGUUUCUUCUGUUUCUGCGGUGGCUGCGCGUCUCACUUCCUGUGUGAUCUUGGCAGUGUGCUGGACCCUCCUGGGCUUCUGUUUCCCCAAAAUGAGGGGGUUGGGCUAAAUCAGACUUUGCCAAAGGCAUCCGAGAUGCUUUGUGGAAAAAAGGUUUCCUGGCCAAGUAAGUUUGGAAAAUGCACAUUAUGUCAAAAGUUCUGAGAAACAGCACAGAAAAGCAGGGUGACCCAGCAGUUUCUCUCCUGGGUAUAUGCCCAAGAAAAUUGAAAACAUGUCCACACAGAACUUGUACACAAAUGUUCGUAGUGGCAUUGUUCAUAAUAGUUAAGCAGUGAAUACAAUCCGAUGUCCAGGAACUGAUGAAUGAAUAACCAAACUACCCACACAAUGGAAUAUUAUUCAGUCAUAAAAAGGAAUGAAGUGCUGAUUCAUGCUCAGCAUAAACAAACCUUGCAAACAUUAUGCCAAAUGAAAGAAGCCAGUCCUGAAAGACCAUGUAGUAUAAUUCCAGCUAUACAAAAUGCCCAGGUUAGGCAGAUCUAUAGAGACAGAAAGUAGGUUAGUGGCUGCCCUGGGCAGAGGGACUUGGGGGGAAAUGGGGAAUGACUGCUGAUGGGCACAGGGUUUUUCUGGUGGGUGAGAAGAAUGUUCUAAAGUUAGAUUGUAUUGAUGGGGUACAACUCUGUGAAUACACUAAAAGCCAGUGAACUGUACAGUUUAAAGGAAUAAGUUUUAUGGCAUGGGAUUAUGUUGCAUAAAGCUGUUAAAAAAGAAAAGAAAAGAAAGGAAAGAAAAAGAAAGGAAGGGAAGAGAAAAGAAAAGAAAGGUUAGGACUUUGGAAGAGCUGGGUGCUUCCCAACUUUGUGUCCACCUAUUCCCAGGACCUGGAGCAAGAUUUUUUUUAAGCCUUUUCAACCCUUGGUUUCCUCCUCUGAAGAGCACAGCUCAGAGCACGACUCUGCGUUGUGCAGAUGAAAAAGACACUUCCACAUCUGCUCCUUGCAGCGUCUCCAGGAAGAGGCGGAAGCCAGAGAAACGAAAUCGGAGGCCCCGCGAGGCUGGCUUGCCUAGGUUCACAGAGCCGCUAAGUGGUGUGGUGUCGGGAUUUGAAUUUGUUUCUCUCAGGCCGGUCACUUGGAAUGACGCUGGCCCAGCUGGGCUCAUGGGUUGCAGAGAGAUCUGCAGCAAUAAUGCAGAGUGUGCUCUGAGAGCCGAAAGGGGCUCUACAGAUGGGGUGCGUGCUAGCCAGUGAGGAUGGGAGAGGUGUGUCGGGGAGAGCCACACCUGUACCCACUUCCUCUGAGGCUGGGACAGCCUUGUCCCAACCUGCAGGCCCUGAGCUUUGUGUUUCUUCUUGUUGAAAUGGGAGGCUAGGCCUUACCUCAUGGCAGCUGGUGGGAGCUCCUAGUAAUGGCAGCCCCCCUUUGAGUGUUUACCAGGUGGCCUGCGCUCUGCUGGACUCAGGGCCUCGCUGGGCUAAGGCUCGGGAGAGCCUGUGAGUUCAGUGUGGUCACCCUCUUUCACAGAGGAGCAAACCAGCCAUCGUGCCACUGUUACAUAUUCCUUGAAGAGAUGAUUAAAGGCCAUAUAGUAUUCUGUCUUAGGCAUGUACCUCCUUUCACUGUUUCUCUAGUAUUUGACAUUUGUUCCUAUUUUAUUUUAAAAUGCAAACAACGCUGUGAUGGACAAACUUACAUAUACAUUUUUGUGCACCUCUCUGCUUAUUUCCUUGAGGUCGAUGCCUGGAAGAGGAAUUACCAGGUGAAAGGGUAUGAACUCAUUUACUGUUCUUCGUGUGUUGCCAGGCGGCUUUCCAGAAAAGAAAGGCUGAGACAUCCACAUUCCCACGAGCAGCAUUGGCCACGCCAGUGGGGGUAGAUUAGUAACCAGCUUGGGCGUCUGUUCUCUCUCGUCCAUUGGGAUGAUCCCCUGAAAACUGACCUGAUCUCACACUUGUUAAAACUUAUCUUAACUAGUAACUGGAAAUACUCAAUUCCAUGAAUCUAUUCUAUGGGUUUAUGGAAAUCCCCAGGGCACCUUCCCACGGAAGCCUAAUUGGUAAAGUAGAUAAUACAUCAAGAGGGAGUUGAUUUAUUAUCUCCCCCUCCUGCUGACAGCCUCCUAUCAGAAACUUUGUGCUGAGAUCUCAGGUGCCAUCUGCUGCUUGAAAUUGCCAGUCCUUGUGAGAAGUACGGGCCUUUGAGUCUGUCGUCUUCCAUCCAGUCAAUCAUAACAAUUCCUAACGUGUACUGAGUAUUUACUCAGUAAGCUGUGUGUAUUAAGUAAUUAAUCCUGAUAGCAAUCCUAUGAGAUAGACCUUAUUAUUAUGCCCGUGUUAACAGGGGGAUGAGGAAAUGAAGGCUCAGAAAGCUCGAGUAACGUGUCUGAGGUCACACAGUGAGUGAGUAGGUGGUAGAUUAGGGAUUUGAUUCCAGACAGUCUGACUCUACAGACCGUAGCCUCACCCAGCACCGUGUACCGCUGCUGUACUGUCUGGUGAUGGGCAACAGGUACUCUUGGUCAACCAGUCUUGAAUUGGCAGGAGGGUACAGAGACCUGAGACCCCAUGGCUGGGGCCAGCUUCUGGUCAGCCCCUGUGAGAACAGCACUGACAGGGAGAUUCAGCAACACCUGAGACGACCUAGUGAGGUGUUGGUGUCCAUCAGAGGAGGCAAGGUACAGAAAACAGAUGGAAAAUGGUUUUUAUCCAUUUUCCUUUGUGUUCAGUGGAAGGGGAUGUUUCCUUGUACCUCUUCCUUGGCUACCAAGAGUGACCAGUACUAAGGAUCGAUGGAGCCACCAAGAUUCUCUAGGGUCCUGCCUAGCCGUGCCCACUGCAUUCUGCCCCCGUCCCAGCAGGGCUGAGGAGUGUGGUGUGUGUGGGCACGUGUGUGCCAGUGUGUGUCACUCGUGCUCACCUCCGGUUUGCUGAAGCAGCGUUGAGCCCUGGGCCUGGCCUGGGGAGGAAGCGCUGUGCUGGCCUGGCGUGGCACUGGGCAUGGCAUGUGCUCAGAGAGGUGACAAAGCCGGGAGGGGCCUGAUGGGUGCCUGGAGAGUGAAGAGAUGGCUCAGCAAAGGCCUCAGCCCACCUCUUCCAUGAGUUCCCACUGCACUGUCAGCUCUGUGAGAGCUGGGGCCCUGCUGCUUGUCGGCUGCCACGUCCCCCCUGGUAAAUAGUUGACAAAUGUUGGGUGGAGGCAGGUGCGCUAUGAACAGAGGCUUCAAUUUUUUGGUGUUAGGAAAAUAGACAUAAAGCCCAGGAAGGGAAAGUCGGAUGUGGAAGAAAAGAGCCGUGAAGGGAAGUGACGUGAGAUGCUGUGUGUCGGACCUGGGAUGACGAAGUGUAACCUGGAGCCUGCUUGCCAGGAAGAGAAGCGAGGUCCUUGCGUGAGCACACGGUGGAAACGAGACGUCAAGAGCAGCACGAAGUAGGGCCCCAGCGAGCCGUCGUCCCACCACGCUGCCUCACCCGAAACAAGGACUUCUCCCGAUUCCACCCAACACGGUGCUGGGGCCUGGCACCGUUCGCACCCGAUGUCACCGGCAAGGGGCUCGCAGGAACCUGUGCUGGCUGGUGACUGCUGUGUGGCUUGGUGGGCAGGCCCCCAAUACCUACUGUCACGGCAGAGGAUAAUUUCUGUCCCUGGUCUGGCCCACAGGCCUCUGCCCUUCUGCCAUUCCUCCCCAAACCAGCUCUACGUCCUUAGCCCUUGGCUCCAGAAGGGUACCCAAACCUGGACUGAGUUCGGGGGCUCCUUGCCCCUUGGAGAGAAGGAACUCUUUCGUUCCUCUUCCCUUUGCCUUUUCCCUAGGACACAGCUCCGUCAGCCUUUCAGGCCUCUCCCUGGGCCCCUCCCCACAUUCACCCCGGGAUGGCCUCGGUCCUCUCAGGGCCACCCUCUCGCGUCUCUGAAGCCCCAGCCCUUCCCCCACAUCCCCUUCACCAUGCACGUACCUCACUGGCCGUAGGCUUGAUCUUGCUUGGCUCUGUGGUUGGCCAGGGCCCCCGGUCAGGAGCUCUCCUUCGGCCCCACGAAGGGGGCAGUAAGGGAAGGGCCGUAGGCUCAGGACUGUGUUGGUCCUGGUGGGAAAUGCUUGCCCCCUGUGGGUCCACCUGCAAAGUACGUAUGAAGCAAUUACUUAACAAAGGGAAAGGCAGUUAAGGAGCUCAAUAAAUAGUUUUUGAAUAAGGGAACACAAAUCUCCUCUCCAUGCUGCACACUCAAAAACGCCUCUGAUGAGAAAGCACUUUGAUUCUGGGAGCCCCGCAGGUGUGCGUGCGAAGCCCUUGAGUGCCGACCCAGAAUGGGCAACGGGAGCCCCGAGGCAGGAAAUUUCUCUGGCACCGUGAUUUCCAGUGCGUCCCGUGGCAACGGGUGUGCCAGGCUAAACACUUCUACACACCCCAAAAAGGGACCUGGGGAUGAUACGCUUGGGAAGCACUGAGUGACAAAGUGUCAGCUGGUCCCUGUACUAGGGAGACUUCUCUGAGCCUGGAUCCGGGAGGGGCUUGCUCUGGCCUUGAGGACAAUAUCCCAAGCUUAUUGGCUCCGAGGGCCGUCUGCUGGAUACCUGUCUGGGAACCUGGGGGAACAUAAAUAUGAGAACCGGAAUGAAGGCAGUUUUUAUAUCCCAACAGAGCUCCAUAGGCGCCAGCAUUUGUGCCCAAUGAAGGACAGGGUUUCCUUUCCUUCCAGGCUCCCACCAGCAAGGCCAGAGGGAGGCACGACCCUCACCCCUGACUCCCAAAGAGGUAAGUGCUGAGGACCAUGAAUAACCUGAUGACCUGGGGUCAGAGGUCUCCUCAUAUACACGUGCACACACCUGAGCUCUGGUUGUUGGCUGGCUGGCUGGCAAAAUGAAUGGAUGGAUGGUUUUCAGUCUCUGCAUGUUUGACAGCCCCCGUGCUGAAACAGAUAUUUCCUUGGCAGUCCCCACACCAAAAGCCCAUUGACUCAACUUGCUUUGGCCAGCUCAGCCCUGAGCCCCAUGGGGAGCAUGGACAGGGAGGGUGAUACUGUUCCUCCAGAGGCUGAGAUCUUGGUAUCCUUGGCCUGGUUUAACUCUGUUCAGGCUGCUAUAACAAGAAUAUCACAGACUGUGUGGCUUAAACAGCAAACAUUUAUUUCUCAUGGUUCUGGAGGCAGGGAAGUCCAAGAGGAAGGUGCUGGCUGACUCUGCCUGGUGGAGCCCACUUCCUGGUUCCUAGUCAGCUCUCUUCUCGCUGUGGCCUCAAGUGGUGCAAGCGGUGAGGGAGCUCUCCAGAGUUUCUUUCACAGGAGCCCUAAUUCCGUUCCUGAGCGCUAUACCCUCAGGACCCAAUCACCUCCCAACACCAUCUCCUUGGGGGUUAGGUUUUAACAUAAGAAUUUGGGGGCACACAAACAUUUAGUCUCUAGCACUCUACCAGCUCCAUCCAGGGCCACCGUUCAGUCUGGUCAUACAGGCCUUCCAGAAGCAUACAGAUGAUUAUAAAGAUGGACAGACAGGGGAUCAGCAUUGCCAUUUAUGGGGGUCGCUCAAGCCUUGAUUUGCCAUUUACCCCUGUGUGACCUCGGCGGCCACUUAAGCCCUCCAGCCCUCCAACCCUCGUUGCCUCACCUCCCUGCCACCCUCAGGGGGCUGCUAGUGAGAUGGAACGUGGUCAUGUGUGGACACUUGCAAGGUCCGUGGAGAGUGCCACACGCUGUGCAGAUGUCAGGGGCUGUGACUGUGGUCAUGGCAGCUGGUGAAUCACAGCCACAGGGAUCUGUCAUCUUCAGGCUGGAAGUGAGGCCUCCUGGACUCCCUUGUGCUCCGGUCGCCCUUGGCUCAGAGCCCUGCUGCGGCCACUGUCCUUUCCUUGGGCUGACCCUACUUUCACCCCAGGCCCCUACCAGACUUACUCACCUUGGCCUGGGGGAAACAGCACCUUUUCUGCCUGGAAUCCCGGGCCAUCCCUUGGCUUCUGGACAAAGCAGCCCAUUUUCAGCCGCUGCCACUCCACUCACCCCAUCCCCUUCCCAGCUCCUCUCAACCAGUGACCUUCCUCACAGCAGCCCCCUCCUUCCUUCGCCUCUGAGGUGGCACUGACCCUGGGAACAGAAAGACCUCGGUUCUGCCACGCUUGCAUUGGACAAUGACUCAACCACUCUGUGACCCAUUUUCCCUGCCUGUAAACAAGGACCCUGGCGCCCUGCAGGUUGCAGUGAAGAUAAAGCAAUGACAUGUGUGAUGUGCUGGCUUAGUGCCCAAAACAUGGCAUUUGCUCAAGAAAUGUGAGGUUUCCUCUCCUCUCCAAGUGCACCGCAGACUCUGCUCUCAGAGUCUCUGAAGUGAGGCUCCGGGAGCCCCCACCAGAGGCGCACACAGAUAAAGCCUGCAGGGCCUCUGCCACUCAAGCUCAUUCAAGGAAGCUGAGUCUGAGCUGAGGAGGAGAGGAGUCUGAGCUGCUCAUCAGCCUUUUUCUGCCGUUUUUUCUUGCCCCUGAAGACAGAGGCAGCUGACAGUGUCCAGGCUUAGGGCUGCUGGCCCACACCCCACCCGGAGCCCUCGGAGUCAGGUAGAGGGGGAGAGAGUCUGGAAUCCACAUGACGAACAGCGGGCCUUGACUGGCCCCUUCUUACACAUCAUCUUGGGACAGGUGAACCCCAGAGACAGGGUUGUCCCAGCCCAAAUCCACAGUGAAAUUGACUGGGCCCUGCCCCUCCAGCACGGGGGAUGUCCACUGCUGCAGACAGCUUCAGAUUCCUUGGACGUGGUUCAGUGGGAAUCAGCUCCAUUUAACCUCCAUGCACCGUGCACCGAGCCCCUCCUCAGUACCUCCCAGGGAUGCAGGGAUGAGUAGAGCACAGUUCCUACCCUCCGGGGGCUGCCAGCACAGGUGAUGAGGAAGAUGCUGAGAAGCGGCACCUACACUAGCGGUGCGCCACCUGCAGACAUCUAGAAGGAGACUGACGCCUGGGCCCACCCAGAACACGGAACGCAGGCACACGCACGCACGCGCUGGACAUCACCUCUGCCCUGUCCACAGUGCCUGGCCUGUGGCUCCUCCACCCCUGUACCAGUCCUUCUGGGCAUGCUCCUGCCUCUAGGUUUCUGUUGUCUGGGACACCCUUUUAUGAUGUCAGAUUUACUGAGGUAUAUAAUUUAUACAAGUAGAAUCCACAGGUUUUAAGCGUACAGUUCGGAGUUUGGACAAACGUAUACAACUGCAUAGCCUCCUGCCACAGGCAAGACAUAGAACAUUUCCCCACCGCACGAAGUUCCCUCAGUGAUCCAACGGCUGGCUCCCUGCCUCCUCGGAUCCUGUUUAAAUCGCCACCAGCAUUCAUUCCCUCUGUCCUGCUUAAAACUUCUCCCCAGCACCAGACAUCUCGUGUACGUAUAUACUUACGUACGCAUCUUACGUACUCUCCAUCCCGUACGUGAUUUUUCUGUUUGGUUUGCUGUUGUAUUCCCGGCGCUCAGGAAUGAGAGCUCAGAACCCCCAGUCCAGAGAGAGAGAGAUAAGAGAGAUGGGGGGGUUGUGGGAACAGUGGGGGUGCCUCCCUCAGCUGGGGGGACAGACCUGGAGGGCGGCAGGUGGACAAAGGAGGAAAGUACGUUGUCAUCUGAGCAUCAGAGGUCGUAUGGUGGGAAUGAUGAGAAGUGGCUGGAGAGGUGAGCAGAGGGCAUCAGUUCUGCUGGACAGGGAGUUUCUCACGCAUUUGACCCCCUACCUUAUUCCCCAAAGCAGCCUCCUCCAGAGCAGGAUCGAUAAGGGAGACUUUUAAACAGGGUCUGAUCCACAUGUUAAUGGGGACUGUCCAGGUGCAUCUCAAGGGCAAGGCUGGAAGAGCGACAGCCCCACAGGCUGGCCCCUAGGAGCUGGGAGGGAGGUGAUGGUGGCUGAGAUUGGGCCUGGGCAGUGGGUGGGAGAGGAGAGAAUUCAGUGAGGGCAGCAGUUGGUGGCAGCGGUGUUGGGGGGACCGGGAGGCAGACUUGGAGCUUGGACUUGACGCCCCUGGCAGUACGGUCCCGAUGGAGUCAGGCCUGGGACUGGAGCAGUGCAGAGUGUUCUUAGGAGAUGGGGUUUCAGUGCCCACAACAUUCCCAUAGCUUGAGAGGGACAUCAGUGGGCUGUUCUUCUGCCUGGAACCCCCUGGGCUAGGGGUCACGCCUGGCUCAGUUUCUCCCCCAGGGCCGCUCCUCCUCGGCUCCUAGCCUGCAAAUGCCAACCUCUCAGCUCUGGCCACACUCUGCCUUUUCAUUCUUCAUGCUGCUGGUGCUUCAGAUCGCCACCGGCCAGGGUGGCUUUCUCACUGCAGGACACCAGUGGGUGAUUUCUGAGCCCCUCUGGAAGCUUCCUUCUGGCUCACCCUUCCAGAGGCCGGGCAUGUCCUGAUACUUCCAUGAGGCUGUGUGAUGUUUGGGACUUUGUCUUGAAGUCCAUCUUAGACAUUUCAGCCCCUCAGAGGGCUUGAACUAGGACUUUAGAUUUGCUUCGCCAGGGAGGUGUGAAGGAUUAGUCAAAAGAUGUUGUUUUGUUGUUGUUGCUUUCCAUGUCAGCAAAUUUUAGCUGAGGCUUCACUCCGUGCUUAGCUCUGUGAUAGGAGCUGGGGAUGUGGAGAUGGAUAAGACACACUCAUUGCCCCAAGCACAGCAAGGGAAGAUGACAUAUGAGCCAAUAAACCACAACAAAGAGAGGUACAUAGAUGUAGAGCACACUGUGGGGCAUCUCAAGAGGCUGUGGUUGAAUAUGGGAGGGAGUGUUCAGGGAAAGCCUCCUAGAGGAGGUGACGUUUGAGCUGGGUUUUGAAGGAUAAAUAGGAGUUCACUCAUGGUGCAUACUAGGGAAGGCUGGCAGGUAUUCCAGCAGAAAGAAAAGUUUCUGCAGGGCCUGGAGGACUGAAGGUCCAUGAUGGGUACAGAGCUAGGAUCAUUGAUAAAGUCCUUGCUGGGUUGCUGGGGUGACCAAGCGUGACUGCGGGGAGGAAGACGUUCAUCUUGGAGAGCAGUGUGGGCAGUCCUUCACUGACUGCUUUCAGCCUCAAAUUAUGUCUGAUUGGCAUUUGCUUGCAUUCUGCCCCUGCCAUCCUUUCCCCGUGGCCUUCUCUUGUCUUUCCUCUAACUAACUCCCCUGUCUCCCUCUGGGUUUGCCCCUUCUAUGAUAGUCUGGGACUGGGUGUGAGGCACUGCGGGACCCUCCUAGCCACACAGCAGGGUCUAGAGCUGCUCCAGCAGCUCGUGGAGAGGCGAGAAGCAGGCCAGGGACUCGGGCAGGCAGCUGAUGCCCAGGAAACUAGUGGGGAUCUGUCUGUGGGUGACAGGACCCCAGCUUUGAAGGGCAAUCUCCCCACCUGCUCACUGAUCACCAUGUGGGGCUCACAGCAGGGCUCUACCUCGGAGGGCACCUGGGAUCCCAGUAGGAGGGCUGCUCAGAACCAGGCAUAGGAACCAGGGCAGAGAAGAUGAAGCCAAGCCCAUCGGGUAGGACAGAGGCAGUUAGGGAUGCCUGCUCUGGGCAGCAGCAUGGGGGCUCAGAGAGCUACAUGGGAGCCCGGAGCUGCCAGGUGGGGCUGAGCCCGUUGCUAGAAGACCUUCCUCUGAUGUAGACACCUUUGUCAGGCUGGAGCCAAUAGGUAGGAAGGAAAACCAGCUCCAUUACCUUGGGAAGGGAGGUGCUUCACAUUUUUGACUGUUUUCCUUCACAGAAUCUUGAAGGCUUGGCAGGUGUGAGAAGCUAAUGUUUCACAUUGAUCCCUAGUAUUUAUCUGGGGCUUUCCAUUUGCCAGGAACUGUGCUAUGUGUUUUGAAAACCCUGCCUCAUUUAAUCUUCAUAUUCGCUCUGCUCCGCUCCGCGUGGGAGGUGCUGUUAUCAUCCCUACUUAGAGACGAGAAACCACAGCUCAGGGCGGUUAGACGUGGCCAGGGCCGAGAAACUAAGUGCUGGUGAGACUGGCAGCUGUGCCCCGGACCACCAGACGGUGCCUCCUUACCGCCCCCCACCCCGGGCACAGAGGGGUGCCCGCACUGUGUGCCUGCCCCGCCCCACUCUGCUCCCCGCUCUCCCCGAAGCGUGUGCUUUGGGGGAUGGGCUGGAUGGGUCCCUGCCGUGGGUGGGAGAGCAGGGCUGCUCUGAGCUCGGCAAGCCCUCCUGUGCCGCCUCUCCCCUCCCCCAGCUCAGCGGAGGCCCAGCCCGGGCGUCUGUGCCUCGCGUUGGCCCUCCUGGGGCUGAGAAGCCACCCGAGGCUGAGUCACGGAGACUUCCUUGGGAUUAACGCUCCUCUGAGGUCCACGGUACCUGGUUGUGGCAGAGGCAGUUGGCCCUUCCAGCCAAGCACUAAUCCUAGUGAAAUACUUGGUAUUUCCAGUCAUUCCGGCUGGAAUUAAACUUAAAUCAAGCCCCAGAAAGCACAGCCAGGAGAAUGUGAGUUGAGUUGCCAAAGAAACCAGGCAUCCGGCCUGCUCAGACGCUGGGCUCCCGUCUCAGGGCAGGCGGGCCAUUCAUGCCCCGAGAGCAGGAGGGGCAGAGACCACAGCAGCACGCAUGGCACUGCCCGCCCAGGCACCUCCCUCCCUCGGCCCACCUGUCUGGCGUGUCCUCGUGUCCCUGAAAAUUACCACGUGGUCAGACGACAGCCUCUCAGCCAGGUUGCCUGAGGCAGCAGGGGUCGGAAGCUGGGUCCGACCUGACUCGGCAGCGAUCACGGUCCCUCUGCCCAGUGUCACGCGAUCAGCGAUGGCAGCAGAGGGGCAGCCCAGGUUGCCCGUGAGGAGCAGGGGCACCGGAGCUGCUGCCUGAGCCUGACUCCACUGCCCACUGGGGGACCACUAACGCGUGACCAUCUGGGCCUGAGUUCUCCUGUUUGGAAAAACGAGACAGUGGGUCCCUCAGCGGGUGACUGUGAGUGUUCAGUGAGUGGGUUAGUACAGAUGAAGAGUUUGGAACUGUGCCUGGCAUAUUGGAGCACUGUGUGCUUCCGUUAUGCUCUGGGCCUCGGUUUCCUCACCUGCAAGACGCAGCUGAGGGAGGGGCUUGACCCCCACGGGCCCUCAUGUUCUGCCGUUCUCUGGCUGUGACCAAGGCCCCGCCCCCAGAAGAGCACUUACCCUCCAGGGGAGGAAUUGGCUGGACAGACAGCAUUAUAUGCCCCACAAGCCACACCCUGUCCAGUGGCUGUGCCUGCGUGGAGUGUAUGUAUGUGUGCAUAUUUGUGUGUUUAUUUGUGGACAUGUGCAUGUGUGUGUUUGUGGGUAUGUGUGUACACAUGUACACAGGUAUAUUGUGUAGGUGCGUAUAUGUAUGUGUGUGUUUGUGUGGAUAUGUAUGUGUGUCUCUGUAUAUGUGUACAGGUGUCUGUGUGUAUAUGUGUGUACACGUGUGCAUGCAGGUACAUGGGUAUGUGUGUAUUUGUGUACAGGUAUGUAAGUGUUUUGCGUAUUGUAUACAUGCGCAUGUGAUGUGGGCGUGUGAUAUAUACAUGUGGGCAUGUCUGUGCACACGUGUAUACGUGUAUCCAGGUGGGGAGCACAGAGAGCCAGCCCAUUUGGUUCUUUGUUGAAGCUCAGGUGGGACUGUGGCCCCCACCUCAUCUCACACCUCCUCUCAAACCUGUCUGAGUGCACAGUGGAGGUGACACGAACCCAAGAAGGAUGGAUGGAGGGCUGGGGUAGGAAGUGAAGGUGAGGUGGAGGGCAAGAGUGUCUUAACCAAAGAAAUCCAGCAGGAUUUAGAGUGGAGGAGCUGGAGAGUGAAAAUGAGGCCAGUUACUCUGGUUGGCAUUAUGCUCUAAGCUCUGUGGCUCUCAUGUUGUAGACCAGGAAGGUAAAGCUCAGAGAGGUCGAGGAACCUGCCUGAGGUCGUCAGUGGUCGAGCCAGGACUGGGCUGCUUCACCACCCUGGGCUGACCGGUAGGAAAAGGCCGACAGACAGGCACCAUCACUGGAGCCUCCCUCUGCACGGCUCCAGGCCAGGGUGGCAGUCAGUGUCCCCAAAGUGCUAGACGACAAUGUCCCCGGCUUGGUGUAGGGGACGGAUUGCUGAGGAGGAGAAGACGGCAUUUCUACUUUAGUUCUGUUUACAGGGUGUAUCUUUGGUCAGGUCAAGUCAACUUUCUGGGCCUCAGUUUGCACAUCUGUCAUAUGGGGCCACUACCCCACCCUGGCCUCAUAUGAAGAAGCCGUGUAGUUGCUGGGGUUGAAUGUACAGCCUUUGGCGCCCUUGGAGUGAAUCCCAGACCUGACCCUUAGCAGCUGUGUGACUUUGGGCCAGUCAACCUCUCAGCCUCAGUUUUCUUACACGUACAAUGGGGAUAACAGUGGUCGCUACAUCAUGGGGCUGCUGUGAGUGUUAACUCAAAGAACGCCUGUAAAGCACUUAAACAACACCUGGCACAAAGAAAGAGGCAGUAAAAGUUAAUUACUUUUUUGUUUUUAAAGUUAAUUACUUUUGCCAUUGCGAUUAUUUCUUAAGGUUGUUAGGAGAACAAAAGAGGCUUGCUCAGAGGAGACUGCUGAGCUGUGGAGAGACCUGCUGGAAGGGAGGUAGACAAUAUUGACAUACAAUAUGAAAUAACAUGGUAGUUUGCACUCAUUCUCACCCUCCUUCCCUUUGGGAGAAAUGUUCAUUCUCACCCCACUGACAUUGGACUUGACCAUGUAAUACAAUUCAGCCCACGGAAUGUGAAUAAAUAUGGUGAUGUAUUCCAGGUCUCAGCAGAAGUUUAGCGAGAGUUUCCAUCAUCGCACUUGCUUGAGAAGUGUGUCAGAAGAACGCACUGACCAGCUGGGGAAGCUCCUACAGCCUGGGCCCUGGGAUGAGGAGUUGUGGGGCGGAGCCCGUGGAGCCACAGCCGACAGCCUCCCACAGGUGAUGUGAGUGCGAGGGAGAUGUGCGUGGUUGUGAGCCCCCGAGACACUGGGGUUGCUUGUUACCACAGCCGAACUGACACAGUAUCGAGAAGAAGAGGGGUUGGAAUAUUACUCAGCCAUAAAAAGGAAUGAAAUCUUGCCAUCGGCAACAACACGGAUGGACCUAGAGGGUAUUAUUCCAAGUGAAAUGAGACAGAGAAAGACAAAUACUGUAUGAUUUCACUCACAUGUGGAAUCUAAACAAAACAAAUGAACAAACAUAACCAAACAGAAACAAGAGUCAUAGACACAGAGAACAAACAGGUGCUUGUCAGAGGGGCGGGGCGUGGGGAGGAGGAGAGAAAUAGGCGAUGGAGAUUAAGAGGUACAGACCUGCAGUUACAAAAUAAAUGAGUCACAGGGCUGAAAUGUACAGUGCGGGGAAUAUACUCAAUUAUUAUGUAAUAUCUUUGUAGGGUGACAUCUUGUAACUAGACUUAUCAUGGUGAUCAUUUUGAAAUGUAUAUAAAUAUCAAAUCACUCUGUUGUACCCCAGGAACUAACAUAGUGUUGUAGGUCAAUGACACUUCAAAAACAAACAAACAAACCCAUAGAAAAUGAGAUCAGGUUUGUGGCUACCAGAGACAGGUAGGGGGCUCGGGGGAAGGGAAUAAGAUGAAGGUGGUCAAAGGUACAUACUUCCAGUUAUAAGAUAAAUAAGUACUAGGGAUGUAAUGCAUAACAUGAUAAGGAUCAUUAACACUGCUGUAGGUUUUAAAUAAAAGCUGCUGUCGAGUAAAUCCUAAGAGUUCUCAUCACAGAGAAAACACUUUUUUUUUUCUAUUUCUUUAAUGUUGUAUCUGUAUGAGAGGGAUGAUCACCAAACCUACUGUGGUAAUCGUUUCAUGAUCUAUGUAAGUCAAAUCAUUAUGUUGUGCACCUUAAACUCAUACAGUGCUGUACGUCAAUUAUAUCUCAAU
This is a long non-coding RNA of Orcinus orca (killer whale), 17639 nucleotides long. RefSeq lists it as uncharacterized. The transcript is spliced from 3 exons. Lineage: Eukaryota; Metazoa; Chordata; Mammalia; Artiodactyla; Delphinidae. The record is from RefSeq and is a predicted model, not a curated record.